AUAAUCUUGCAAGCCAAGGAAGUUUCAUCCCACUUUAUAGCUAAUCUAAUUCAUUUAGGCCAGUCUUCAAAACUUUGAGCCUUAAUUCAAACUGACACUCCAAUGAAGACUUAUUCAAGCACGUCUUUGAUUGUGUAAAUAUUAUUCAAAUUAAAUUCCCAUUUUUUUGCUUAAUUUAGAUACUUUUCUUAUUUUUAGUUAAGAUUCAAAAUGUCUCCUUAUUUAUAGGAAAACCUAUAAUUAGUAAACCUUGAUUUCCAAGCAACUCAUUUAUUCAAAUAUUUAAACAACAAAACGUAUAAUAAUACACUUAAACAUUUAAGCAGUAAGACUUCUUAAACACACGUUGUCAUUUAAAUUCAAAAUCCAAAUAUAAUCCUAUUUAAAGACAAUUAUCUUAAGUCAUUUUAAUUUAAACUUAAUUCAAUAUAUUUCGGACAUAAAAUAUGUAUCAAUUAAUUACUUAAUAAAAUAUGAUUUUGGACCUACUUAAACAACUAAAUAUAAUUACUUAAUUUAUUGUUUAAUUUAAUAUGUGUUUUGAAUUAUCAUCAUUUAAUAGGGAAUUGAGUCUUUAGUUAAGAUUCAAAAUAUAUCCAUACUUAUAGGAAAACCUAUAAUUAGUAUAUCUUGAUUACCAAGCAAAUUAUUUAUUCAAACAUUCAAAAAACAAAACGUGUAAAACAUUAAAACGCACGUUUAUAUUCAAAUUCAAAUUCAAAUACAACCUUAUCUAAAUAAAGACAAUUAUCUUAAGUCAUUUUAGUUCAAACUUAAUUCAACAUAUUUUGGACUUAAAAUAUUUAUCAAUUAAUCACUUAAUAUUUAAUAUGAUUUUGGAUCUACUUAAACAACUAAAUAUAAUUACUUAAUUUAUUGUUUAAUUUAAUAUGUGUUUUGAAUUAUCAUCACUUAAAGAAGUUGAGUCUUCAGUCAUUUAUAGCAUUUCAAUGGGACAGAGGAGUAGAGUGAAGGAUAACUUUUUAGAGAUUGAAAGCAAGUUGACUGAUGCUUUGAUGAUACAAUUGCAUCAAAUAUUUAAAACCUCAAUCUUUGAUAUAGUCCAUAUUGGUCAGUCUUGAUCAAUUUUUGAAAUAUUUUAUUCGGAUUUGGGAGGUUAUAUUAAAUUUGGUAUUAUAUCAAGUUAUGUACUUGAGUUUAUGAUGCUUAAUCUUGAAUGUAAAUUAGAAUCUCCAUAUAAUUUUAUAUCAUUUUGAAAAUUAUAUUUCUUUCAUGUAUGUGUUGAAACUGGUAAUUGGAUCUUUGCAGUCCGUAUUGAGGCUUCUAACCAGAUCUUUUGCAAUUUUCUUUUGAGGUCUUUUUUUUAGCUUAAUUACCAAAGCAAUAUUAUAAAAGAAUUUGGAUAUUUUUUUAAUUUGUUGUCAAAGUAUUCAUUUUGCUGUAAAUCAUGAAGCUUGCAGAGGUGCUAUCUAACUUGGUAUGUAACAGCAAGGAGUUAAGAUGUUUGGGAUAAUGAGAAGCAAGUGUAUUUGGGUAAGCAUUUGUAUUCCAACAGAGGAAAUAUGUUAUACCGAUUGGGUACUAUGUGAAGCAGAGGCGAGGGCACAAGGAAAAAAAUGUUGUACAAACAGCUUGGUGAAGUAUAGAGAUCCAUAAUUCGACCCAAAAUGCAUAAUUUGAAUUUUUGUAAAAAGAAUUUAUACACUCAUAGUCAUAGUCCAUGAAGGGUCAUUCUUUUUUGGUUUUAAAUAUUUAUAGUAGCUAAGAAAAUCACUACUAACAAUCUUAAUUUAUAGUAUCUUAAGUGAAAAUGGGUGGAUCAUUUUUAAAGUAUGUCCACUUGGGUAAUGCAAUUGUUGUUACUGUUGUGCUUUGAACUUCUCUAGAAUGCUUCAAAAACAUAAGAAUCUUGCAUAUGCUCUGAUAAUCUGGUGAUGACAAUUUUUGGAACUGUCAAGUAAUGACAACUCUCCUACCUACAGUUUUGCAAGCCAGAAAAUUUAUACAUUACCAGCAGCUUUGCUAUCAGGCCUUGACAAUGUUCAGAAACCAGACAUUAGCUUCGUAAUGUAGCUUCACACAUCAUUUGUAUAUGAAAACCCUUGAAUACAGUUAUGUUCUACGAUUCUCUUGCCACUCUCUUCUUCUCUCUUUAUUUUUCAUAAAAAUACCAAUUGAUACCAAUUCAAGGCUCAGAGCUCAACAACAAGGAGGAAGACCAAGAGAACCCAAGUAACACAAGCAAUAUCAUGAACAACAAGUCUGAAGGUCCUGAACUAACUUCGGAUUCUGAACUAGCUUCAACAUUAAACAAGAAAGACUUCCAAUGCGACACGUACAUACUAGGAAAUGAUGAAUUAAUUAAAGGAAACCAGAUGCAAACGAAUGAAGCAGCAAAAGAACAAAAACUAACAGAAAUAAGCAAAACAGACCAGCAGCAAAGUCUGACGCCAGCCACUGACCAGACCACCUUGGAAGGCCCGCCCAGACGAUACCCGAGCCCAUGGGAUGACGUGGAGGGUAGAUUUGGAAUCUCCACACAUGGGCCUAGCUGCCAUGGCCCAAGAAUCCUCCUGAAAGUCAUCGGAGAAGGGCUGAAAACGGAGUCCAAGGUCGCCCAGUCGACAGUCAGCACAGCAGCUGUUGCAUGAGUUCUGGUUGUUUUAUUUUGAGCUUAAUUAGGCUCGUGUAUAGGCACGUGAGGUAUAUUACCGUUAUUAGCCGUUAAACCUUCAUGUAAUCAGCCUAAUCCUGAUCCCUAGCCUUAUAAAUAGUAGAUACAAUCAUUGUAAAGCUCACG
Molecule: long non-coding RNA, 2761 nt
Organism: Amaranthus tricolor (Joseph's coat)
Lineage: Eukaryota; Viridiplantae; Streptophyta; Magnoliopsida; Caryophyllales; Amaranthaceae
Exons: 2
Source: RefSeq, a predicted model, not a curated record